Molecule: ribosomal RNA, 253 nt
Filed under: uncultured bacterium
Lineage: Bacteria
Description: partial 16S ribosomal RNA
Rfam family: Bacterial small subunit ribosomal RNA
Source: RNAcentral
UACAGGGGGUGCGAGCGUUAAUCGGAAUUACUGGGCGUAAAGCGUGCGUAGACGGCUAUCUAAGUCGGGUGUGAAAGCCCCGGGCUCAACCUGGGAAUUGCAUUCGAGACUGAAUAGCUAGGGUACGGUAGAGGGAAGUGGAAUUUCCGGUGUAGCGGUGAAAUGCGUAGAUAUCGGAAGGAACAUCAGUGGCGAAAGCGACUUCCUGGACCAGUACCGACGUUCAGGCACGAAAGCGUGGGGAGCAAACAGG